Molecule: ribosomal RNA, 206 nt
Filed under: uncultured bacterium
Lineage: Bacteria
Description: partial 16S ribosomal RNA
Rfam family: Bacterial small subunit ribosomal RNA
Source: RNAcentral
CGCGUAGGCGGGAUGGCAAGUCGGUCGUGAAAUCCUUCGGCUCAACCGAAGAACGUCGGCCGAUACUGCCGUUCUUGAGGGAUGCAGAGGAGAUUGGAAUUCCCGGUGUAGCGGUGAAAUGUGUAGAGAUCGGGAGGAACACCGGUGGCGAAGGCGGGUCUCUGGGCAUCUCCUGACGCCGAGGCGCGAAAGCGUGGGAGCAAACG